Molecule: long non-coding RNA, 889 nt
Filed under: Prunus dulcis (almond)
Lineage: Eukaryota; Viridiplantae; Streptophyta; Magnoliopsida; Rosales; Rosaceae
Description: sRNA ncRNA
Source: RNAcentral
AUGUCAAGCUCGUCAAAUCAGUUGCUGAGUUGAAGUUGGAAAAUAGUAGGAUUGCAAACGAGAUUCAAUCCCUUGAAGCAGAUUUUGAAAAAGUAAGUGCAAAUUUUCAUCCUUUUAUGUUUUUAUAGCGAAUUUGUUGAGAGUACUUAUUCCGUGUUGAAAAUUGAACUUAGAAUAACAAUUUAAUGUUGUUUUUUGUUUUGCAUAAACUCCCAUCAAUUUGCGCCCCCCCCCCCCCCCCCCCCCAAAAAAAAAAAAAAAAAAAAAAACUCCCAACAAAUGUGUGGUAUUCAAGCUACCUCUCAUUUCCAAACUUCCAUCAUCUAUUAUUAUCGAAACCUUAUCCUAUAUCCUCAUCCUAAGCUUUUAGUUGAGUUGGUGUGAAUGAUCAUGAUGAAUUUUCGUUUCACUUUUACGUACAGCACGCCAUUAAAGUGAUUGAUUGAUUUUAUUUUUUUGUCAUAUCGGGUAUACCAAAAAAAAAAAAAAAAAACUUUAAUCAUGUUGAGGUGAGGUCCUUCCAGUUUUUGCAGAGGCCAGAGCCAUGUGGCACAAGCACAAGAGAGGUGAUAGAUUUGGGGAAUAUACGAACAAAAAAGUCCUGUUCUAUCAGUCCUCAUUCACAAUAUUGAGGACACGUUUUCGAUUGUUUUUCUUUUUAAUUUGUCAAGAGCGGGAAAAGCAUGAAGCUGAAGAAAUGGAGACAUAAAUUUGAAAUUGAUAGUCGUGCUCGUGGUCCAGACAGUCGUACGAGGAAUUCAGAAAUAGCAAUCUGCAAAAACACAUUGUGAACAAUGUUGCAAGGAAAGUCUUCCCAUUCGGGUCAUUGGCCCCAUGUCUCACAAUGGAAUUAAAAUAUAUAAACCAUUCUUAUAUUUUAUUUUUUUAA